RNAcentral lists this long non-coding RNA (1714 nucleotides) under Triticum aestivum (bread wheat). RNAcentral's name for it is "long non-coding RNA (TAES_LNC018947)". The record is from RNAcentral. Lineage: Eukaryota; Viridiplantae; Streptophyta; Magnoliopsida; Poales; Poaceae.
CUUUCAUUAACUCAAAGCAGUGCUUAUAUACACAAAUGAUUGACCGACCUGCCAAGCCAGCCGCCACACCCGGCUACACUAACCCACUAACCCAUGCACUCACGCACUAACCCAGGCCACUAACACAUGACCUUUUCCUACGGCCAGUACUGCACGGACCACCCCAACUUUCGUUGAAUAUCCGCAGGACCUGCAGCACCGGCUAACAAACUCAUGCAUGCAGCCUAAUCACUACUACAUGCACGCCUAUGCCCGGCCCUUGCUCAACCUCCUCUUAACGGCCAAAGGACGAGGCCAACUCAACAUGCAUCAUAGAGUCCCACACUCCAGCCUUGGUCGCACUUGCCGCAUCACACGGCCACGCUGCCUCGCGCAACACUACAGCCUCACGCCACCAUCGGCAUCUCGCCAUCGUCGUCGUAUCACACGACCCCUUGGCAUCUCGCCUUCUCCACUCGUCUCUGCUGAAGCUUCACCGGACUAGCUACUCUCUAACCUAUCCUACAUACAUAACAAAAGCAAACUAAAUAUGCAGAUACAUGAAUCAAGAUUAAACCUAACAUUUUCCCUUCUAAUCUUGAUUCUCCAAUCUUCACGCGGUUCACCCGCUGCCACUUGACGACACAAUCGCGGCGCUGCACACCUUGCCUGGACCGACGCCAUCGCAGCGCCCGCGUCCAUCACCAUGUACUCUUGCCGCACGCAGCGGCCACCUCUUGACGUGGACGACGCUGUCGCAGCGCCGAUCACCACGCCGUCUUCGCCAAGCGGCAUCGCACCGUAACUUUUGUUGGCUUCACACCAACUUUCCAUGAUGACGAUGGCAUCACACCACCGUCGUCGGCAUCACGCCGACUCUUCUUGUGGCAGCUUCGCACCGCCAUCUUCACAUAGCGGCACCGCAUGGCCACCAUCCUCCUUCUUGCGCCGUCGGCCUCCAUCUCGCAUGAAGUCCGUCGCGCCACAACCGACGCCGUCGCAGCGCCGGUCACCACGGACCAUCUUGUCGUGGAUGACGUCCUCGCGACGCCGAUCAUCGCACCACCUUCAUCUCGCGGCAUCGCACCGCAACCGGCCGCCCGCGGCAUCGCGCCGCUGCCAGCCAUCACCUCGCGCCCAGCGCCACACCGGCCACCAUAGCCGCCGGCACCGUCGUCGCCGCCACGGAUCAACAAGGCUCUGAUGCCAAUUGUUGGCGCCGCCUCCCGCAGCGCCACACUUCUUCUUCUUCCUCGAGCUGCCUCACACAACUCUCCAUCUCUCUUUCUCUCUUCUCAAGAACACACACAAGGGAAAGAAGACUCAACACACACACACACUUCACCGUGGAGAAAGCCAGCUUUGCUAUGUUGCUCCCGGUGAGAACACACACACUACAUUGUUUUCCCAGCCCUCUCGGCCUCUUCCUUCUUUCAUUAACUCAAAGCAGUGCUUAUAUACACAAAUGAUUGACCGACCUGCCAAGCCAGCCGCCACACCCGGCUACACUAACCCACUAACCCAUGCACUCACGCACUAACCCAGGCCACUAACACAUGACCUUUUCCUACGGCCAGUACUGCACGGACGACCCCAACUUUCGUUGAAUAUCCGCAGGACCUGCAGCACCGGCUAACAAACUCAUGCAUGCAGCCUAAUCACUACUACAUGCACGCCUAUGCCCGGCCCUUGCUCAACCUCCUCUUAACGGCCAAAGGACGAGGCCAACUCAACA